RNAcentral lists this ribosomal RNA (451 nucleotides) under uncultured bacterium. RNAcentral's name for it is "bacterial SSU rRNA". It matches the Rfam family "Bacterial small subunit ribosomal RNA", at positions 354 to 796 of the family's 1533-position model. The record is from RNAcentral.
GUGGGGAAUCUUGCGCAAUGGGGGAAACCCUGACGCAGCAACGCCGCGUGGGUGAUGAAGGCCUUCGGGUCGUAAAGCCCUGUCAGGUGGGAAGAAACAUGCCGAUAUGAAUAAUGUCGGCACUUGACGGUACCACCGGAGGAAGCACCGGCUAACUCCGUGCCAGCAGCCGCGGUAAUACGGAGGGUGCAAGCGUUGUUCGGAAUUAUUGGGCGUAAAGCGCGUGUAGGCGGUCGGGUAAGUCAGAUGUGAAAGCCUUCCGCUCAACGGAAGAAGUGCAUUUGAAACUGCCUGGCUAGAGUACGGGAGAGGAGAGUGGAAUUCCCGGUGUAGAGGUGAAAUUCGUAGAUAUCGGGAGGAACACCAGUGGCGAAGGCGGCUCUCUGGUCCGAUACUGACGCUGAGACGCGAAAGCGUGGGGAGCAAACAGGAUUAGAAACCCGUGUAGUCC